RNAcentral lists this ribosomal RNA (500 nucleotides) under uncultured bacterium. Its description in RNAcentral is "partial 16S ribosomal RNA". It matches the Rfam family "Bacterial small subunit ribosomal RNA", at positions 28 to 507 of the family's 1533-position model. The record is from RNAcentral.
GACGAACGCUGGCGGCGUGCUUAACACAUGCCAGUCGAACGGGUCUGCCCUGUUUUUUGCGGGGUGGGUCAGUGGCGAACGGGUGAGUAACACGUGAGUAACCUGCCCCUCACUUCUGGAUAACCGCUUGAAAGGGUGGCUAAUACGGGGUGUUCUGGCUGUGCCGCAUGGUGUGGCUGGGAAAGAUUCACUUUUGUGUGGUGUUGGUGGGGGAUGGGCUCGCGGCCUAUCAGCUUGUUGGUGGGGUGAUGGCCUGCCAAGGCUUUGAGGGGUAGCCGGCCUGAGAGGGUGGGCGGUCACACUGGGACUGAGAUACGGCCCAGACUGCUGCGGGAGGCAGCAGUGGGGGGUAUUGCACAAUGGGCGGAAGCCUGAUGCAGCGACGUCGCGUGAGGGAUGGAGGCCUUCGGGUUGUGAACCUCUUUCGCCGGUGAAGAAGGUCCUGCUCUUUGUGGUGGGGUUGACGGUAGCCGGGUUAUGAAGCGCCGGCUAACUACGUG